CUGCCUCCUGGACUGAGUGCGGUAAUUGUACAUUUUUUCAUCCUACAUCUCAAGAGACCAAGGGACCUAAGUAAAUUGAUCUACUUGCCAAUGACUGUAAGAAAGACAAAGAAGUUGUAAAAACAUCCAAAUGAUGUUAAACAUAAAUUAGCUCAGAAUAGUUUGCAGAAGAUAAACUACCAGCGUCAAAGCAUGCAUUAAAAACUGGAAAGAAAUUAAAAGUGUGGUAUUGAAAGAUGUACAACUGACUUUGGAAAAAGGAUUCCUCUCUAAUUGGUGUUUGUAAGUGAUCGAAAUAAACAUUUUUAAACUAUCAU
This 317-nucleotide non-coding RNA is filed under the name Pan troglodytes (chimpanzee). The record is from RNAcentral. Lineage: Eukaryota; Metazoa; Chordata; Mammalia; Primates; Hominidae.